RNAcentral lists this ribosomal RNA (405 nucleotides) under uncultured bacterium. RNAcentral describes it as "partial 16S ribosomal RNA". It matches the Rfam family "Bacterial small subunit ribosomal RNA", at positions 29 to 526 of the family's 1533-position model. The record is from RNAcentral.
AUUGAACGCUGGCGGCAGGCCUAACACAUGCAAGUCGAACGAGUGGCGGACGGGUGAGUAAUGUCUGGGAAACAGCCUGAUGGCGGGGGAUAACUAGUGGAAACGGUAGCUAAUCCCGCCUACCAUCGGAUGUGCCAAGAUGGGAUUAGCUAGUAGGUGGGGUAAAGGCUCACCUGGGCGACGAUCCCUAGCUGGUCUGAGAGGAUGACCAGCCAACCGGGAACUGAGACACGGUCCAGACUCCUAGGGGGGGCAGCAGGGGGGAAUAUUGCACAAUGGGCGCAAGCGUGAUGCAGCCAUGCCGCGUGUAUGAAGAAGGCCUUCGGGUUGUAAAGUACUUUCAGCGGGGAGGCGUUACCCGCAGAAGAAGCACGGCUAACUCCGUGCCAGCAGCCGCGGUAAUAC